UUCCACUAGUUUUCUUAUCCAUUGGUUUAUUUUUUUUCUCUUCACUCUUUUCUUUCAAAAAUCAACAUUUUCCUAAUGUACCCUUAAUGUACCAAAGAUCACGGAUCUAACUUUCCUAACUUAUUGAAAUCAACCGAUCUCUCUCAUUAACAAAUAAUAGAUUUUCAGGAAACAAAUACCGGAUUUUAAGGAAAUUAACAAGUAAACCAUGACAAUAAAAUUUUAUUGUGAAAGUGUAUCUCUACUCCUAAAGAGGAGUCGGUACUUCGUUCCUUAGUACUCCAACAUCUAUCCCCGCACAUCCCCACCGAUCGAUCCAAGGAUCUUCUGGUCGCUCCUCUCUUUUGACAAGUUCUGAUUCAAUCAAUCGAGCCAUAGCGAGAUUCGGUAAUUGGACUGGAGGGAAGGAGGAGCAGAGGAUGGAGCGUCGCAUCUGCAGCUGCCCGCCGUCGAGUCGAGGGUCGACCGCCGCCAUCUCCACCUGCCCAUCAUCGACCAUCUCCUCGCCGGCUGCACCUGCACGCCGUCCCCCCUGCACCCUGUUUGAUCUUCUCUGUUUGAGAUCCUAUCUCUGACCGAGUUAUUCAGUGCCAAAAUUUUCAACAACUAGUACUGAAUUAUUAGCAGUUAGUACUGAUCUAUUGAGUGUUGAAUAAACCUUUCUUAAGCUUAUUUAUUGUCGAUUCCAUCCUCUUUUGAAACAAAGAUUCUGACUGUUCAAAAUUUAUCUCAUAUAUAUUGUAUUCUUGGUCCUUUUUUAUAAAAUAUUAAAAUUUGGUCUGUUUGUACAGGACGCCGAAUACAUCGGCGUAAUAAGAGCAGGAAACUCGUGAGAAUUGUCCUAGACGGGAAGAGAGAGGGAGGAGGAUACGUCCAUGCACGCGGGUGCUACUGGUUAAUCUCUGCUAAUACUCCAGUGGACUGUCUGCUGAUGCUAGACUGCGCCUGGGAUCUAUUCUCCUGUAUCUAAACUCUUCCAUUCUUACCUGAAGAGAAAACUAAGAUGUGCAACUGCAUGUUGUUUAUGUUAUGUCCAAACUGUUUUUAGUUAGCUUCUAAGAAUAUGGUAUAAUACAUUGGAAAAUAUUA
Molecule: long non-coding RNA, 1089 nt
Organism: Triticum aestivum (bread wheat)
Lineage: Eukaryota; Viridiplantae; Streptophyta; Magnoliopsida; Poales; Poaceae
Exons: 2
Source: RefSeq, a predicted model, not a curated record